GGGCUGAUGGUUCGGCUUGGUACGAACAUUCGAUUCGCAAUCGAAAAAUCGCGGGUUCAAAUCCCGCUCAGUCCA
This 75-nucleotide transfer RNA is filed under the name Candidatus Nitrosopumilus sp. Its description in RNAcentral is "Nitrosopumilus sp. tRNA-Ala". It matches the Rfam family "tRNA". Rfam says of the family: Transfer RNA (tRNA) molecules are approximately 80 nucleotides in length. The record is from RNAcentral. Lineage: Archaea; Thermoproteati; Nitrososphaerota; Nitrososphaeria; Nitrosopumilales; Nitrosopumilaceae.